This is a long non-coding RNA of Halichondria panicea, 2289 nucleotides long. RefSeq lists it as uncharacterized. The record is from RefSeq and is a predicted model, not a curated record. Lineage: Eukaryota; Metazoa; Porifera; Demospongiae; Suberitida; Halichondriidae. The transcript is spliced from 5 exons.
GUGCAUAUACACUGUUAAAAAUGGGUAGUUACAAUAGCACCCAAAGUGCUAUGCCAACACUCACCUAAUGGUGCUAUCACAACACUAAGAGUGCAGUCGUAACUGCUACGUGUUACUAGAACAAUAAAGGGUGCUAUUAUACACUUAAAAGUGCUUGUGGAACAUUUUAAACAGUGUUGUGCAUGCACUUACCUAGUUGUUAAAAUCAUAUUACUCUAACUAUACACCAGAUGGUGUUACUCAAAUAAGAAUUGUGUGAUUGUAGCACUAUACAUGGUGCAAUGUAAGCACCUCUACAAAUCACCUGCAUGCAAAUCAAGGCCAGUCUAUAAUGAUUCGUGUAGUUGCAUGUGUAAAUAAAUAGUUGCUUAUAUAGUAUAACAAACCCGUUCCAUUAAAAUAGUUGAAUCUGGUAUAAUUAUUAUACCUUUGUAUUCAAGCAUGCAAGUAGAUCAUAAUUAUAGUCACCUUAUUUAUUAUACUUAUUCAGUAUAAAUUCUAAUCACAUGCGUAAUUAUGUAUACAGGGGUGAAGCAGCACACUUGUACUGAUGACGGAACAAUCGGCCCUGUGAGGAACUUUCCAAGAAAAAAUUAGUGCACUUUUCAAGUGUACCGGCAAUAUUUUAGCUAUUCAGUAUUUAUAACUUAUGUGAUGAACCAGUACUAGUUAUCAUUAUUAGUUACUGUAAAACUAUGUGUUUGAAGUUGCAACAUCUAUUGAGGACUAGACUAUGUGCAUGUCACGCUAACGGACAAAUUAAUGCCCAACAAUAAUUAUUAACAAUUCAAUCGUCUGAAAAAUCAUACAUCCUGUAUUUAGCAAAGUAGCUGGCUUAUAGUGUGUUCUUUCUACUCGUACAGUUGCCCUGCAAAUUUAACUCUUACUUUGCUCCCACCCCUCCCCUCUUCCAUGCAAGGGCAUACACUGAUGAUAUGAUCAUAAUUAAUUGAUGAGCACAGACUCAAAUGCGUGGUGGGUAGCCAAGACUACAUAAACAAAACAAAAUCGUGGGUGGUAGACGUGCAGCACUGAUCUCACGUGAACCUUGUGAUAGACAGCUGCCUGCAUGAGAGUCUCUGCACACAGCUGCGUGCACCUUAACUGUACGAAGGCGCCAGGCCUACUCUAGCUCUGUACUGUGCUCUGGUACUACAUGGACUAAGUUGCUAGAUGUACUACACUGCAAGAUGGCACACUGCUUUGACUCGGAACUAUAGAGGUUCAUGGAGUCGAGCUAUUUAAACGAGGUUAAAGAAUAUGCGUCGCAAAUUGAGAUUCAAUAUCUGUCCAAAGAUAAACCACUGCUCUUUAAAAGGAAUAGUCCAAAAACAAAGCGUAACAAAGGUGCUAUCAGGAGUGAUAUGAUCGACCAGCAGUUACAGAUGUGCAUAUAUACUUACCUUCUAUCCACCACUGACCGAUUAUGUCUAUGAAAAGAUACCUAUAGAUUUACUUUUGAGGUAAAUUGGAAAGAAUUCGAACAAAGGAGAACAAUGUUAAGCUACAGGAGCUGGUCGAAGACUAUGCAGUCACUGGUGCAGUCACAAUCUAAUGUUCUGAAGAUAAUACUGUAAGAAGAAGGAUGCAGUACAAAUGAUAUUUGUCAAGCUGCUGCUCCACGUGGAUGACAUGCAACGUUCGUUCAAGGUAGAAAAAGUGCUAUUGAAUCUGGAUCAAUGAACUACUUCGUCAUCGUAGAGAAAGAAGUGUAUGAAGUAGAUUCAUUCUAUGAAACUCUUGUACUAUGUUUUUGACAUUUUAGUACCCACGUGCAUGUCAGCAUGGCACCCUUUUAUUUUUAUAUUUUUAAGGUCCCGAACUGCCUAGUGUAUUGUGGUCGUAGUUAUUAAACACUUUAUGAGGUUAUAGGUAUACAUAUCUUCAUACUUUUAUUGUAUGCUAUCGUGAUGCAUAUCAUUAUACACAUGCUAUAAUUAUGUUACGUCAUUUAAGUCAAGUGCAUGAGCUUAUCGAGAAGUGCAAUAAGCAUGCAUGCAAUAUUUUAUGCUUUGCAUGAAGAGUAGCAAUGACAACUGUACCUGUAGUAACAGCAGCACCCAUCCCCAGUGCUUUAAUAACACCUUGUAGGUGUAGUUGUAAAAGUUACACACAGUUUGGAGUUGCAGUAACUCCAAGAAAGUGCAAGUACAGCACAUUUUCAUGCUGUUACAACUCCAAAAUGAGUGUUUUAAUAACACUAAAAUCUGGUGCUGUAAUAACUCCAUAUAUGAGUGCCAUAUUUGGUACAAUGGUUUUACCCCACUUUUGGGUGUUACAAUAGCACCA